GGCCCUUCGGGGUACUCGAGUGGCGAACGGGUGAGUAACACGUGGGUGAUCUGCCCUGCACUUUGGGAUAAGCCUGGGAAACUGGGUCUAAUACCGAAUAUGACCAUGCUCUUCAUGGAGUGUGGUGGAAAGCUUUUGCGGUGUGGGAUGGGCCCGCGGCCUAUCAGCUUGUUGGUGGGGUAAUGGCCUACCAAGGCGACGACGGGUAGCCGGCCUGAGAGGGUGACCGGCCACACUGGGACUGAGAUACGGCCCAGACUCCUACGGGAGGCAGCAGUGGGGAAUAUUGCACAAUGGGCGCAAGCCUGAUGCAGCGACGCCGCGUGAGGGAUGACGGCCUUCGGGUUGUAAACCUCUUUCAAUAGGGACGAAGCGCAAGUGACGGUACCUAUAGAAGAAGGACCGGCCAACUACGUGCCAGCAGCCGCGGUAAUACGUAGGGUCCGAGCGUUGUCCGGAAUUACUGGGCGUAAAGAGCUCGUAGGUGGUUUGUCACGUUGUUCGUGAAAACUCACAGCUUAACUGUGGGCGUGCGGGCGAUACGGGCAGACUAGAGUACUGCAGGGGAGACUGGAAUUCCUGGUGUAGCGGUGGAAUGCGCAGAUAUCAGGAGGAACACCGGUGGCGAAGGCGGGUCUCUGGGCAGUAACUGACGCUGAGGAGCGAAAGCGUGGGGAGCGAACAGGAUUAGAUACCCUGGUAGUCCACGCCGUAAACGGUGGGUACUAGGUGUGGGUUUCCUUCCUUGGGAUCCGUGCCGUAGCUAACGCAUUAAGUACCCCGCCUGGGGAGUACGGCCGCAAGGCUAAAACUCAAAGAAAUUGACGGGGGCCCGCACAAGCGGCGGAGCAUGUGGAUUAAUU
Molecule: ribosomal RNA, 863 nt
Filed under: Mycobacterium sp. Site2-4C
Lineage: Bacteria; Bacillati; Actinomycetota; Actinomycetes; Mycobacteriales; Mycobacteriaceae
Description: bacterial SSU rRNA
Rfam family: Bacterial small subunit ribosomal RNA
Source: RNAcentral